AAAUUGAAGAGUUUGAUCAUGGCUCAGAUUGAACGCUGGCGGCAGGCCUAACACAUGCAAGUCGAGCGGUAGCACAGAGAGCUUGCUCUCGGGUGACGAGCGGCGGACGGGUGAGUAAUGUCUGGGAAACUGCCUGAUGGAGGGGGAUAACUACUGGAAACGGUAGCUAAUACCGCAUAAUGUCGCAAGACCAAAGUGGGGGACCUUCGGGCCUCAUGCCAUCAGAUGUGCCCAGAUGGGAUUAGCUAGUAGGUGGGGUAACGGCUCACCUAGGCGACGAUCCCUAGCUGGUCUGAGAGGAUGACCAGCCACACUGGAACUGAGACACGGUCCAGACUCCUACGGGAGGCAGCAGUGGGGAAUAUUGCACAAUGGGCGCAAGCCUGAUGCAGCCAUGCCGCGUGUGUGAAGAAGGCCUUCGGGUUGUAAAGCACUUUCAGCGGGGAGGAAGGCGGUGAGGUUAAUAACCU
This 470-nucleotide ribosomal RNA is filed under the name Klebsiella pneumoniae. RNAcentral's name for it is "bacterial SSU rRNA". It matches the Rfam family "Bacterial small subunit ribosomal RNA", at positions 1 to 468 of the family's 1533-position model. Lineage: Bacteria; Pseudomonadati; Pseudomonadota; Gammaproteobacteria; Enterobacterales; Enterobacteriaceae. The record is from RNAcentral.